RNAcentral lists this ribosomal RNA (208 nucleotides) under uncultured bacterium. RNAcentral describes it as "partial 16S ribosomal RNA". It matches the Rfam family "Bacterial small subunit ribosomal RNA", at positions 568 to 774 of the family's 1533-position model. The record is from RNAcentral.
CGCGUAGGCGGCUAGGUCAGUCAGAUGUGAAAGCCCCGGGCUUAACCUGGGAAUUGCAUUUGAUACUGCCUGGCUAGAGUAUGGUAGAGGGUAGUGGAAUUCCAGGUGUAGCGGUGAAAUGCGUAGAUAUCUGGAGGAACAUCAGUGGCGAAGGCGGCUACCUGGACCAAUACUGACGCUGAGGUGCGAAAGCGGUGGGGAGCAAACA